Non-coding RNA from Fimicolochytrium jonesii, 72 nucleotides. Lineage: Eukaryota; Fungi; Chytridiomycota; Chytridiomycetes; Spizellomycetales; Powellomycetaceae. The record is from the annotation of a RefSeq genome assembly.
GGGGAUUUAGAUCAGUGGCAGAUCGUCUGCUUUGCAUGCAGAAGGCCAGCGGUUCAAUCCCGCUAAUCUCCA